UCGCCUGUUUAUCAAAAACAUCGCCUCYUGCAAAACCAAAGAAUAAGAGUUCCCGCCUGCCCACUGAUCCAAGAUUCAACGGCCGCGGUAUUUUGACCGUGCUAAGGUAGCGUAAUCACUUGUCUUUUAAAUGAAGACCCGUAUGAAAGGCUUAACGAGGGCUUAACUGUCUCUUCUUUCUAGUCAAUGAAACUGAUCUCCCCGUGCAGACGCGGGGAUAAGAACAUAAGACGAGAAGACCCUAUGGAGCUUUAGACACUAAAGCAGACUAUUUUUAAUAACCCUAACCAAGCAAUAAAUCUAAUAAAAACCUGCUACUGUCUUAGGUUGGGGCGACCCUGGGGAAACACAAAACCCCCAUGUGGAAGGGGGAACCUACUCUCCUACCCCUAAAAACCCGAAAUACAAUUCUAAUUAACAGAAUAUCUGACCAACUGAUCCGGCCUUAGGCCGAUUAACGAAACAAGUUACCCUAGGGAUAACAGCGCUAUCCCCUUUUAAAGUCCAUAUAGACAAGGGGGCUUACGACCUCGAUGUUGGAUCAGGACAUCCUAAUGGUGCAGCCGCUAUUAAGGGUUCGUUUGUUCAACGAUUAAAGUCCUACGUGAUCUGAGUUCRGACCGGA
This 625-nucleotide ribosomal RNA is filed under the name Hypoclinemus mentalis. RNAcentral describes it as "partial 16S ribosomal RNA". It matches the Rfam family "Bacterial large subunit ribosomal RNA", at positions 1796 to 2620 of the family's 2925-position model. The record is from RNAcentral. Lineage: Eukaryota; Metazoa; Chordata; Actinopteri; Pleuronectiformes; Achiridae.